ACCUCCCUCCAGCCGACACCAGCAGCAGCUACUCGGAACCGCCCGAGCGCGACCAGGGGCCCAGCCGUCUGCAACCCUCCCAUUGGUGAUCAGCGAGGUGAUCAGCACAGGUGACCAAGCAGAGCUCAUCAGCACAGGUGACCAUGCAGUCCCAGAAUCGCAAAAGAGCUCCAGCAUGGACCGAACGGGAGGUACUGGAUCUGAUCUCUGUAUGGGGAGAUGAAUCCGUGCUAUCCGAACUCUGUUCCAAAAGACGAAAUUUGAAAAAAAUCUCCAAGGGCAUGAAGGACAGAGGUUAUAACAGGAACCCGCAGUAGUGCCACGUGAAGCCUACCAAAGAACAAGAGAGGCAAACAGCCACUCCAGGUCAGAGCCCCAGACAUGCUGCUUCUAUGGUGAGCGGCAUGCCAUUCUAGGGGGUGCCCCUACAACUACCCCACCCCUGUGCUUCCCUCCUCCCCCACCCCUCCCGGGCUACCUUGGCAGUUAUCCCCCCAUUUGUGUGACGAAUUAAUAAAGAAUGCAUGAAUUUGAAACAACAA
This is a long non-coding RNA of Malaclemys terrapin pileata, 542 nucleotides long. RefSeq lists it as uncharacterized. The transcript is spliced from 2 exons. The record is from RefSeq and is a predicted model, not a curated record. NCBI's taxonomy places the organism in Eukaryota, Metazoa, Chordata, Testudines, Emydidae.